Molecule: ribosomal RNA, 370 nt
Filed under: Reticulitermes kanmonensis
Lineage: Eukaryota; Metazoa; Arthropoda; Insecta; Blattodea; Rhinotermitidae
Description: partial 16S ribosomal RNA
Rfam family: Archaeal large subunit ribosomal RNA
Source: RNAcentral
GCAAAGGUAGCAUAGUCAUUAGUUCUUUAAUUGUGAUCUGGUAUGAAUGGCUUGACGAGGCAUGGGCUGUCUUAAUUUUGAAUUGUUUAUUGAAUUUGGUCUUUGAGUUAAAAUUCUUAGAUGUUUUUAUGGGACGAGAAGACCCUAUAGAGUUUAACAUUUGUUAUGGUCCCUCUUCUGUUUGUGAGGGUUCAUUGGGCCGUUUAAUAUGUUUUGUUGGGGUGAUGGGAGGGAUUAAUUUAACCCCUCCUUUUUAUUAUUAUAUUUAUUUAUAUUUACUUGAUCCAUUUAUUUUGAUUGUAAGAUUAAAUUACCUUAGGGAUAACAGCGUUAUCUUCCUUGAGAGUUCUUAUCGGCAGGGGGGUUUGCG